Molecule: long non-coding RNA, 487 nt
Filed under: Brassica rapa (field mustard)
Lineage: Eukaryota; Viridiplantae; Streptophyta; Magnoliopsida; Brassicales; Brassicaceae
Description: long non-coding RNA (BRAP_LNC001904)
Source: RNAcentral
CCCCACCGGUCAAAUCUCCUCCUCCACCAUACUACUAUCACUCACCGCCCCCUCCAAUGAAAUCUCCUCCACCACCAUAUGUUUACCAUUCACCACCUCCACCCAUGAAAUCUCCUCCUCCACCAUACUACUAUCACUCACCACCUCCACCAGUAAAGUCUCCACCACCACCACCAUAUUAUUACCAUUCACCACCUCCUCCAGUAAAAUCUCCUCCUCCACCAUACUACUACCAUUCACCACCUCCUCCGGUGAAGUCUCCACCACCGCCAUACCAUUACAACUCUCCACCACCACCAGUAAAAUCUCCCCCACCUCCAGUAUACAUCUACGCCUCUCCUCCACCUCCUACCCAUUACUAGGCUCAUCAAAUUCAACCAAAUUUCCCCAUUAUUCAAGUAAAGUCCCAACGCUUCAACAUUUUCAAUAUGCUUCAUAUCCAUAUCGAUAGAACUUUGUCUCAUUAUCUCAAUUUCUUCUUCGCAGG